RNAcentral lists this ribosomal RNA (492 nucleotides) under uncultured bacterium. RNAcentral's name for it is "partial 16S ribosomal RNA". It matches the Rfam family "Bacterial small subunit ribosomal RNA", at positions 29 to 507 of the family's 1533-position model. The record is from RNAcentral.
AGUGAACGCUGGCGGUAGGCCUAACACAUGCAAGUCGAACGGCAGCACAGUAAGAGCUUGCUCUUACGGGUGGCGAGUGGCGGACGGGUGAGGAAUACAUCGGAAUCUACUUUUUCGUGGGGGAUAACGUAGGGAAACUUACGCUAAUACCGCAUACGACCUACGGGUGAAAGCAGGGGAUCUUCGGACCUUGCGCGAUUGAAUGAGCCGAUGUCGGAUUAGCUAGUUGGCGGGGUAAAGGCCCACCAAGGCGACGAUCCGUAGCUGGUCUGAGAGGAUGAUCCGCCACACUGGAACUGAGACACGGUCCAGACUCCUACGGGAGGCAGCAGUGGGGAAUAUUGGACCAUGGGCGCAAGCCUUAUCCAGCCAUACCGCGUGGGUGAAGAAGGCCUUCGGGUUGUAAAGCCCUUUUGUUGGGAAAGAAAAGCAGCAGGUUAAUACCCCGCUGUUCUGACGGUACCCAAAGAAUAAGCACCGGCUAACUUCGUG